Molecule: ribosomal RNA, 942 nt
Filed under: Poterioochromonas sp. NTNV04
Lineage: Eukaryota; Synurophyceae; Ochromonadales; Ochromonadaceae
Description: bacterial SSU rRNA
Rfam family: Eukaryotic small subunit ribosomal RNA
Source: RNAcentral
AGGGUUUAAAGUUGCGUGCGACAACAUCACCAAAACUUUAACUGAUUUGCAAAUGGUCAAAAAUAGAAAAAAUAAAGUGAUGGUAUUGGAAUGGAAAAGGUAGUCCUUCCGGAGGGUGUGUUGGGGGGCAGGUGACAUUCGGAGCGGGUGUGUUUCUCGCAUUUACUACGAUUUCCGCUUUCAAGGAUACUGGUGAUUCAUUCAAUUUUCGGAUCAUCGUAUGAUCGAUGCAUCAUUCAUUUUUCUGCCCUAUCACCUUUGGAUGGUAUGGUAUUGGCCUGCCAUGGCAUUAAGGGGUAUCGGAGAAUUACGGUUCCAUUCUGGAGACCCAGCCUGCCUUAUGGCUACCACAUCCAAGGAAGGCAACAGGCGCGUAAAUUACCCAAUCCUGACACAGGGAGGUAGUGACGAUAGAUAACAAUGUCGGGCUUUUCUAAGUCUGACAAUUGGAAUGAGAACAAUUUAAAUCCCUUAUCCAGGAUCAAUUGGAGGGCAAAUCUGGUGCCAGCAGCCGCGGUAAUUCCAGCUCCAAUACCGGAUACUAAACCUGGUGCAGUUAAAAAGCUCGUAGUUGACUUUCUGGUCUCGAGACCCGGCCAGCCUCAAGGUGCGAUGCUGUGGAUCGGGACCAUCCUCCAGGAGAACAUAUCUGUCUUUGAGUUGAUGGGUAUGGGACCCUCGUCUUUUACUGCGACCAAAAUACAGUGUUCAAAGCAGGCUUACGCCGAUGAAUACAUUAGCAUGAAAUAUAUGAUACGACCUUGUUCUAUUUUUGUUGGUUAUGACUCCGAGGUUAGGAUUAAUAUGCACAGUUGGGGGUAUUCGUAUUCACUUGUAAUAGGUGCUAUUGAUUGUAUUAUGGAAUACGAACAACUGCCCAAACAUUUACUAAGGAGGUAUUCAUUACUCAAAAACGAAAGUUAGCGGUAUCGAAAAUGAUCA